This 422-nucleotide long non-coding RNA is filed under the name Anser brachyrhynchus (Pink-footed goose). RNAcentral's name for it is "lncRNA (ENSABRG00000019156.1)". Lineage: Eukaryota; Metazoa; Chordata; Aves; Anseriformes; Anatidae. The record is from RNAcentral.
AUGGCCUUGGAAGGUGUGGAACAGCUUUCACACCAGGGGCAGCCGCAUAGCUCUGGAGUUUCCAGCCCAGGGAAGGACGUGUCCAAGGAUGGAUGUGCUAGAGAUCCACCAAGCGAUGUGGGAAGGAAGGUGGGCAGUGACUGCUGCUUGUCUCAGGCUCGCUGGGUUUGGAUCAACCUCGUGGUACUUCGCAGGUGGAAUUUGCACCAGCAGCUCCCCAGGGGGGUGAUGCUGUCUCACUAUGCCAAGUGCUCCACCAGCCCUGGUCCAAACCAAGCAGGAUGUCUGGUGUCAAAGCCAUCAAGGAGAUGAAAGCCAUAGAGACCCUCUGCCCUGAACCCAGGGCCUGAAUUUGCAGGGCUGGCCAGGGCAGUGUAUCCGUGAGUGGAAUUGUCUGGUUUGUGCUGAUUUCACCAUUUGUG